This 30-nucleotide non-coding RNA is filed under the name Mus musculus (house mouse). The record is from RNAcentral. Lineage: Eukaryota; Metazoa; Chordata; Mammalia; Rodentia; Muridae.
AAUGGGUGCGAUUUUGAGUUUUGCGGUCAU